RNAcentral lists this ribosomal RNA (1372 nucleotides) under uncultured bacterium. Its description in RNAcentral is "bacterial SSU rRNA". It matches the Rfam family "Bacterial small subunit ribosomal RNA", at positions 28 to 1381 of the family's 1533-position model. The record is from RNAcentral.
GAUGAACGCUGGCGGCGUGCCUAAUACAUGCAAGUCGAGCGAACGGACGAGAAGCUUGCUUCUCUGAUGUUAGCGGCGGACGGGUGAGUAACACGUGGAUAACCUACCUAUAAGACUGGGAUAACUUCGGGAAACCGGAGCUAAUACCGGAUAAUAUUUUGAACCGCAUGGUUCAAAAGUGAAAGACGGUCUUGCUGUCACUUAUAGAUGGAUCCGCGCUGCAUUAGCUAGUUGGUAAGGUAACGGCUUACCAAGGCAACGAUGCAUAGCCGACCUGAGAGGGUGAUCGGCCACACUGGAACUGAGACACGGUCCAGACUCCUACGGGAGGCAGCAGUAGGGAAUCUUCCGCAAUGGGCGAAAGCCUGACGGAGCAACGCCGCGUGAGUGAUGAAGGUCUUCGGAUCGUAAAACUCUGUUAUUAGGGAAGAACAUAUGUGUAAGUAACUGUGCACAUCUUGACGGUACCUAAUCAGAAAGCCACGGCUAACUACGUGCCAGCAGCCGCGGUAAUACGUAGGUGGCAAGCGUUAUCCGGAAUUAUUGGGCGUAAAGCGCGCGUAGGCGGUUUUUUAAGUCUGAUGUGAAAGCCCACGGCUCAACCGUGGAGGGUCAUUGGAAACCGGAAAACUUGAGUGCAGAAGAGGAAAGUGGAAUUCCAUGUGUAGCGGUGAAAUGCGCAGAGAUAUGGAGGAACACCAGUGGCGAAGGCGACUUUCUGGUCUGUAACUGACGCUGAUGUGCGAAAGCGUGGGGAUCAAACAGGAUUAGAUACCCUGGUAGUCCACGCCGUAAACGAUGAGUGCUAAGUGUUAGGGGGUUUCCGCCCCUUAGUGCUGCAGCUAACGCAUUAAGCACUCCGCCUGGGGAGUACGACCGCAAGGUUGAAACUCAAAGGAAUUGACGGGGACCCGCACAAGCGGUGGAGCAUGUGGUUUAAUUCGAAGCAACGCGAAGAACCUUACCAAAUCUUGACAUCCUUUGACAACUCUAGAGAUAGAGCCUUCCCCUUCGGGGGACAAAGUGACAGGUGGUGCAUGGUUGUCGUCAGCUCGUGUCGUGAGAUGUUGGGUUAAGUCCCGCAACGAGCGCAACCCUUAAGCUUAGUUGCCAUCAUUAAGUUGGGCACUCUAAGUUGACUGCCGGUGACAAACCGGAGGAAGGUGGGGAUGACGUCAAAUCAUCAUGCCCCUUAUGAUUUGGGCUACACACGUGCUACAAUGGACAAUACAAAGGGCAGCGAAACCGCGAGGUCAAGCAAAUCCCAUAAAGUUGUUCUCAGUUCGGAUUGUAGUCUGCAACUCGACUACAUGAAGCUGGAAUCGCUAGUAAUCGUAGAUCAGCAUGCUACGGUGAAUACGUUCCCGGGUCU